GAUGUAAAUAGAAAAUAAUUUGUGAAAACUUUUGGUUUCAGAAUGUCCCCGCGGCAAGUUUACACAUAGUAAAAAUUCUAACAAGGAAUCGUACAGAGGAAACUAAUCUAGUUAAAAGGCUUUCAUGUGAAUUAUUUUUCUGCUCACCAACACGUGACAAAUCUGGAAUAAACACAAGGUAUAUUUUUUUAGAAGUAAACAGAUUUUUCAAACGGUCGACAGAAAACAGAACAGAUAUUUCAAAUGGGAGAUUUCGGGAUGAAUGAAAUAAAUCAUCAUCUGCCUUCCUGAUGUAUUCUUACUGUUUUGCUUCCAAGUUUCGGCAUCUUCAAUAUUGUGGUUUGAUGUAGCAUUACUGCAGGCCAGAGAAUGGGCUACAUAGCAAUCUUCUGAAGGUGUGGUGCUCCUACCAAGACCCCCGGCAUGCUUUUGUAAAGCAUUUCUACCUUCAGCGGCCUUCUUUAAUCGCGAGAUGACACUUUUUGAUACACCCAUUGCAGCAGCUACAGUGGUGACACUUAGACCUGCUUCCAGUCGUCUAACCACUCGUCCACGAUCGUAGUGACUGAUGAUGAUGAAAGAGUCUCACCCUGAAAACGUUUUUCGGCUGCACUGUAACCAGUUGCAUGUAACAUCCCUGCCUCUGGUCCGUCGAAAGAUUGACAUUCAACUAUGAAGACCAGCAGUGAUCGCUUAGUCGUGGUUUGAAACAUAUUGUGCCGGGGCACACCCGCCAUUUCUUUUAUUUUUGUGAUGGAAAGAAAACAUCCAAAGAGCCCCACAAAACUUGUAUCCAUGUUCUGCAAAGGCCCUUCAGACUGAUUAUGAAAUAUUCACUGAUGUCUUUUCAAGCGUCUUCCUGUUAGCUUAGAGUAAACGCUGAGCGCAAAAGCUACUGUGUAUGAAAAGGAACUGCUGUUUUAAAAUAAGUUCAAGAAUUUGGUGUCAAGAAAUCAAAAAUUGUAAUGCUUAAAAUAGUGACCAAGGUCCAAGGAAUUUAUUGUAUUAUUGUUUUCUGCUUAAAUAUGUGCUAAAUAUGUAUUUUCUUUUGAAAUAAAAUCUAGAGGAACCCAAGCACUGGGGCGAGGGAAAGGACGAUUGCUUUCCCUCAUCCCCUGAUGAGUAAAAGGUAAGUGACGCACAAGUCUUUUUUGUUAUCUUGAAGACUGUCGAGAUAAAUUGUAAUCCCCGUUUGUAAGACAUAGAUCGAGGCAGUAUUUUUU
Uloborus diversus is the source of this 1223-nucleotide long non-coding RNA. RefSeq lists it as uncharacterized. Lineage: Eukaryota; Metazoa; Arthropoda; Arachnida; Araneae; Uloboridae. The transcript has 5 exons. The record is from RefSeq and is a predicted model, not a curated record.